RNAcentral lists this ribosomal RNA (301 nucleotides) under uncultured bacterium. RNAcentral's name for it is "partial 16S ribosomal RNA". It matches the Rfam family "Bacterial small subunit ribosomal RNA", at positions 509 to 807 of the family's 1533-position model. The record is from RNAcentral.
CAGUAGCCACGGUAAUACGAAGGGGGCUAGCGUUGUUCGGAAUUACUGGGCGUAAAGCGCACGUAGGCGGAUAUUUAAGUCAGGGGUGAAAUCCCAGAGCUCAACUCUGGAACUGCCUUUGAUACUGGGCAUCUUGAGUAUGGAAGAGGUGAGUGGAAUUCCGAGUGUAGAGGUGAAAUUCGUAGAUAUUCGGAGGAACACCAGUGGCGAAGGCGGCUUACUGGCCCGAUACUGACGCUGAGGAGCGAAAGCGUGGGGAGCGAACAAGAUUAGAUACCCCCGUAGUCCCUGUCUCUUAUAC